Molecule: ribosomal RNA, 253 nt
Filed under: uncultured prokaryote
Description: partial 16S ribosomal RNA
Rfam family: Bacterial small subunit ribosomal RNA
Source: RNAcentral
ACGGAGGGUGCGAGCGUUGUCCGGAAUUAUUGGGCGUAAAGAGCUCGUAGGCGGUUUGUCGCGUCUGCUGUGAAAACUGGAGGCUCAACCUCCAGCCUGCAGUGGGUACGGGCAGACUAGAGUGCGGUAGGGGAGAAUGGAAUUCCUGGUGUAGCGGUGGAAUGCGCAGAUAUCAGGAGGAACACCGAUGGCGAAGGCAGUUCUCUGGGCCGUAACUGACGCUGAGGAGCGAAAGCGUGGGGAGCGAACAGGA